UGAGGAAUAUUGGUCAAUGGGCGCUAGCCUGAACCAGCCAUGCCGCGUGCAGGAAGACGGCCCUACGGGUUGUAAACUGCUUUUCUGCGGGAAGAAUCUCCCGGAUUCGCUUCGGGAUUGACGGUACCGCAGGAAUAAGCAUCGGCUAACUCCGUGCCAGCAGCCGCGGUAAUACGGAGGAUGCAAGCGUUAUCCGGAUUCAUUGGGUUUAAAGGGUGCGCAGGCGGUGGAGCAAGUCAGUGGUGAAAGCCCGAAGCUCAACUUCGGGAUUGCCAUUGAAACUGUUUCACUUGAGUUUAGUCGAGGACGGCGGAAUGAGUUGUGUAGCGGUGAAAUGCAUAGAUAUAACUCAGAACACCAAUUGCGAAGGCAGCUGUCUAGACUAAAACUGACGCUGAGGCACGAAAGCGUGGGGAGCGAACA
This 423-nucleotide ribosomal RNA is filed under the name uncultured bacterium. RNAcentral's name for it is "bacterial SSU rRNA". It matches the Rfam family "Bacterial small subunit ribosomal RNA", at positions 355 to 774 of the family's 1533-position model. The record is from RNAcentral.